AGGUAGCGAAAUUCCUUGUCGGGUAAGUUCCGACCCGCACGAAUGGUGUAACGAUCUGGGCACUGUCUCAACUACCCACCCGGCGAAAUUGUAGUACCGGUGAAGAUGCCGGUUACCUGCGGCAAGACGGAAAGACCCCAUGGAGCUUUACUGUAGCCUGAUAUUGGGUUUCGGAAAUCUAUGUACAGGAUAGGCGGGAGACUGGGAAACAUGAGCGUCAGCUUGUGUGGAGUCGAUGUUGGGAUACCGCCCUUAGGUUUCUGGAAUUCUAACCUGCGGCCGUGAAUCCGGUCGGGGGACAUUGUCAGGUGGGCAGUUUGACUGGGGCGGUCGCCUCCGAAAAGGUAACGGAGGCGCUCAAAGGUUAGCUCAGCACGGACGGAAACCGUGCCUCUGAGUGUAAACGCAAAAGCUAGCCUAACUGCGAGGGUGACGGCCCGAGCAGUAACGAAAGUUGGAGUUAGUGAUCCGGCGGUAUGUGAAUGGAAAUGCCGUCGCUCAACGGAUAAAAGCUACCCUGGGGAUAACAGGCUGAUCUCCCCCAAGAGUCCACAUCGACGGGGAGGUUUGGCACCUCGAUGUCGGCUCAUCACAUCCUGGGGCUGUAUUCGGUCCCAAGGGUUCGGCUGUUCGCCGAUUAAAGUGGUACGCGAGCUGGGUUCAGAACGUCGCGAGACAGUUCGGUCCCUAUCUGUCGUGGGCGCAGGAUAUUUGAGGAGCUCUGUCCUUAGUACGAGAGGACCGGGAUGGACGUACCUCUGGUGCACCAGUUGUCAUGCCAAUGGCACGGCUGGGCAGCUAUGUACGGAACGGAUAAACGCUGAAAGCAUCUAAGCGUGAAGCCGACUCCAAGAUUAGAUAUCCCAUCGUAUAACGAGUAAGACCCCUUGAAGACUACGAGGUUGAUAGGCUGCGUGUGUAAGUGCCGUGAGGCAUUCAGCUUGGCAGUACUAAUAGGUCGAGGGCUUGACCAC
This 974-nucleotide ribosomal RNA is filed under the name human gut metagenome. Its description in RNAcentral is "bacterial LSU rRNA". It matches the Rfam family "Bacterial large subunit ribosomal RNA", at positions 1954 to 2925 of the family's 2925-position model. The record is from RNAcentral.